UACGUAGGGUGCGAGCGUUAAUCGGAAUUACUGGGCGUAAAGCGUGCGCAGGCGGUUUUGUAAGCCAGAUGUGAAAUCCCCGGGCUUAACCUGGGAAUGGCAUUUGGGACUGCAAGGCUAGAGUGUGGCAGAGGAGACUGGAAUUCCUGGUGUAGCAGUGAAAUGCGUAGAUAUCAGGAGGAAUACCGAUGGCGAAGGCAAUCCCCUGGGCCUGCAUUGACGCUCAUGCACGAAAGCGCGGGGAGCAAACAGG
This 253-nucleotide ribosomal RNA is filed under the name uncultured bacterium. Its description in RNAcentral is "partial 16S ribosomal RNA". It matches the Rfam family "Bacterial small subunit ribosomal RNA", at positions 524 to 776 of the family's 1533-position model. The record is from RNAcentral.